CCUACGGGGGGCAGCAGUAGGGAAUCUUCCACAAUGGGCGCAAGCCUGAUGGAGCAACACCGCGUGAGUGAAGAAGGGUUUCGGCUCGUAAAGCUCUGUUGUUGGAGAAGAACGUGCGUGAGAGUAACUGUUCACGCAGUGACGGUAUCCACCCAGACAGUCACGGCUAACUACGUGCCAGCAGCCGCGGUAAUACGUAGGUGGCAAGCGUUAUCCGGAGUUAUUGGGCGUAAAGCGAGCGCAGGCGGUUGCUUAGGUCUGAUGUGAAAGCCUUCGACUUAACCGAAGAAGUGCAUCGGAAACCGGGCAACUUGAGUGCAGAAGAGGACAGUGGAACUCCAUGUGUAGCGGUGGAAUGCGUAGAUAUAUGGAAGAACACCAGUGGCGAAGGCGGCUGUCUGGUCUGCAACUGACGCUGAGGCUCGAAAGCAUGGGUAGCGAACAGGAUUAGAUACCCUUGUAGUC
RNAcentral lists this ribosomal RNA (465 nucleotides) under uncultured bacterium. RNAcentral describes it as "partial 16S ribosomal RNA". It matches the Rfam family "Bacterial small subunit ribosomal RNA", at positions 338 to 795 of the family's 1533-position model. The record is from RNAcentral.